CCUACGGGUGGCAGCAGUGGGGAAUAUUGGACAAUGGGCGAAAGCCUGAUCCAGCCAUGCCGCGUGUGUGAAGAAGGCCUUCGGGUUGUAAAGCACUUUCAGUGGGGAAGAAAGCCUUGGGGCUAAUACCCUCGAGGAAGGACAUCACCCACAGAAGAAGCACCGGCUAACUCCGUGCCAGCAGCCGCGGUAAUACGGAGGGUGCGAGCGUUAAUCGGAAUUACUGGGCGUAAAGCGCGCGUAGGCGGUCUGAUAAGCCGGUUGUGAAAGCCCCGGGCUCAACCUGGGAACGGCAUCCGGAACUGUCAGGCUAGAGUGCAGGAGAGGAAGGUAGAAUUCCCGGUGCAGCGGUGAAAUGCGUAGAGAUCGGGAGGAAUACCAGUGGCGAAGGCGGCCUUCUGGACUGACACUGACGCUGAGGUGCGAAAGCGUGGGUAGCAAACAGGAUUAGAUACCCCAGUAGUC
RNAcentral lists this ribosomal RNA (465 nucleotides) under Vreelandella stevensii. RNAcentral describes it as "partial 16S ribosomal RNA". It matches the Rfam family "Bacterial small subunit ribosomal RNA", at positions 338 to 795 of the family's 1533-position model. The record is from RNAcentral. Lineage: Bacteria; Pseudomonadati; Pseudomonadota; Gammaproteobacteria; Oceanospirillales; Halomonadaceae.